This 652-nucleotide ribosomal RNA is filed under the name Stigeoclonium sp. 3 AS-2014. RNAcentral describes it as "partial 23S ribosomal RNA". It matches the Rfam family "Bacterial large subunit ribosomal RNA", at positions 2098 to 2396 of the family's 2925-position model. The record is from RNAcentral. Lineage: Eukaryota; Viridiplantae; Chlorophyta; Chlorophyceae; Chaetophorales; Chaetophoraceae.
GCUUGACUGUAGUUUGGAAUAGGGUUCGGGCUUUUCUUGCGCAGCCUAGGUGGGAGGCAUUGAGGAUUUCUUUUCGGGGAAAUCGGAGCCAUCAUUGAGAGACCACUCUGGAAGAGCUAGAAUCCUAAUGGCGUUCCUUGAAUCAGGACGCUUGACAGUUUCAGAUGGGCAGUUUUCUUGGGGCGAGAUUCUUAGUUAUGGGAUGCUUGUAAUUAUUACGAUUAAAAAGUAAGUGAAAAGUCUCACCUUUAAAGAAAAAAACUGAUACAGAUCUUUAAUCGUUUUUAAUCCAAGUAGAAUUUGACUAUAUGCUGGAAUGUUUAUACGUUGACGAAUGUGGAAUAAAGCUCGCCUUUAUCGUUACCGACCACAAAUGUUACAAAAAAACGUAAAAGGUUUUAUGAUUUCAUAAAACUUCUUAAACUAAUCAGCAGGGAAAUACCGAAAAUUGGUGUGACCUUCAAAGACUUUACGUCAAACUUUUAAGUUAUAUUUAAUUUUAAAAGAUGAUAAAGUCUAACCUGUUAAAAUUAUUAAUAGGUUGCCUAAAAGGUAACGGAGAAGCGCAAUGGUCCCCUCAACCUGGACGGAAAUCAGGCUUUGAGUGCAAAGGCAUAAGGGGGCUUGACUGCAAGACCUACAAGUCGAGCAG